Molecule: unclassified non-coding RNA, 496 nt
Filed under: uncultured Glomus
Lineage: Eukaryota; Fungi; Glomeromycota; Glomeromycetes; Glomerales; Glomeraceae
Description: bacterial SSU rRNA
Rfam family: Eukaryotic small subunit ribosomal RNA
Source: RNAcentral
CCAAUAGCGUAUAUUAAAGUUGUUGCAGUUAAAAAGCUCGUAGUUGAAUUUCGGGGUCAGUAGGUUGGUCGUGCCACCGGUACGUACUGGUCUCACUGAUUCCUCCUUCCUGAUGAGCUGUAAUGCCAUUAAUUUGGUGUUGCAGGGAAUCUGGACUGUUACUUUGAAAAAAUUAGAGUGUUUAAAGCAGGCUAACGCUUGAAUACAUUAGCAUGGAAUAAUGAAAUAGAACUUUCGAUCCUAUUUUGUUGGUUUCUAGGAUUGACGUAAUGAUUAAUAGGGAUAGUUGAGGGCAUAAGUAUUCAAUUGUCAGAGGUGAAAUUCUUGGAUUUAUUGAAGACUAACUACUGCGAAAGCAUUUGCCAAGAAUGUUUUCAUCAAUCAAGAACGAAAGUCUGAGGUUCGAAGGCGAUCAGAUACCGCCCUAGUUCAGACCGUAAACGAUGCCAACUAGCGAUCCGAGGGCGUUAAUUUAUGACUCCUCGGGAAGCUUCCG